Glycine soja is the source of this 847-nucleotide long non-coding RNA. RefSeq lists it as uncharacterized. The transcript has 3 exons. The record is from RefSeq and is a predicted model, not a curated record. NCBI's taxonomy places the organism in Eukaryota, Viridiplantae, Streptophyta, Magnoliopsida, Fabales, Fabaceae.
UAAAUUAUGGAAUUUUAUUGCGGCAUCUUUCCCAUUCUUUUCGAGCGAAUAUUUUCUUCUAUAUAUUAUUUCCUAUCUAAAAUAAAAAUAUCUAUUAUCUCCCAUGUCUGCAUCCAAAGAUCCAUGGAGCACCAUUGGCGCUUCUUCAUUAGCGUUGUAGCUGUUGGCGCAAGGAGCGUUGCGUCUUUCGGAAGAAACUAGGGUCAAAUAGCGAACAAUCUCCCCUCGCAAGACGACGCGUUGCGUUGGUGAAAUCCAUGGGAGCAACGAAGGUGAAGCUCUACGACGCAGAUGUGAAAUUAAUGGUAGGCCUGGGAAACGAGUACUUUUCUAGAAUGAAAGAUCCAAAGCAAGCCCAGGCAUGGAUCAAAUCCAACCUCCAAGCCUACCCCUCCAGUAACCUCCACUACGAUAACGUGCUUUUUGCACAGAUCGAUGCUGUGUAUUCCGCGUUGGACUCGUUGGCUUUCCAAGGGGCAUCUGGACGAAGCCGGUGCGAAACUCGAGAACGCCAAGAGCUAUAACGGGAAUCUUAUUAAGAUGGUUAUGAACAGCACGAAGCAGAAUCCAAAGGAAGACACCGGGGCAUGGCAAUGGGGAGAAGAGCAAAGGCAGAAUUAGAACGGAGUAAAGGCAGUACACGUCGUCUUUGCAGUGCGAUGUCGCUUACUUGCUGGUCUAGGAAGUAAAGGUAGUUGUUUGUGGACUUGAGGAGCUUUUGUCACUCCCCACCCCCGGGACUAUCUAUGUAUUACAGGAAUAGAUACAUUGAUUGGUAUUUUUAUCAGACAUUAUUUCAUAAUAAUGUGAUACGGUCACAUUUUGCUUUUGCAGUAUUCAUUUCUCA